CCUACGGGAGACAGCAGUGGGGAAUAUUGGGCAAUGGGCGCAAGCCUGACCCAGCAACGCCGCGUGAAGGAAGAAGGCCCUCGGGUUGUAAACUUCUUUUCUGAGGGACGAAGCACGUGACGGUACCUCAUGAAUAAGCCACGGCUAACUACGUGCCAGCAGCCGCGGUAAUACGUAGGUGGCAAGCGUUAUCCGGAUUUAUUGGGUGUAAAGGGCGUGUAGGCGGGAAAGCAAGUCAGAUGUGAAAACUAAGGGCUCAACCCUGAGCCUGCAUUUGAAACUGUAGUUCUUGAGUGCUGGAGAGGCAAGCGGAAUUCCGUGUGUAGCGGUGAAAUGCGUAGAUAUACGGAGGAACACCAGUGGCGAAGGCGGAUUGCUGGACAGUAACUGACGCUGAGGCGCGAAAGCGUGGGGAGCAAACAGGAUUAGAUACCCCAGUAGUC
This 443-nucleotide ribosomal RNA is filed under the name uncultured bacterium. Its description in RNAcentral is "partial 16S ribosomal RNA". It matches the Rfam family "Bacterial small subunit ribosomal RNA", at positions 338 to 795 of the family's 1533-position model. The record is from RNAcentral.